Molecule: transfer RNA, 71 nt
Filed under: human gut metagenome
Rfam family: tRNA
About the family: Transfer RNA (tRNA) molecules are approximately 80 nucleotides in length. Their secondary structure includes four short double-helical elements and three loops (D, anti-codon, and T loops).
Source: RNAcentral
GCUAGAUAGCUCAGUUGGUAGAGCGGAGGACUGAAAAUCCUUGUGUCACUGGUUCGAUUCCAGUUCUGGCC